Molecule: ribosomal RNA, 1460 nt
Filed under: Salmonella enterica subsp. enterica serovar Dublin
Lineage: Bacteria; Pseudomonadati; Pseudomonadota; Gammaproteobacteria; Enterobacterales; Enterobacteriaceae
Description: partial 23S ribosomal RNA
Rfam family: Bacterial large subunit ribosomal RNA
Source: RNAcentral
AGACCCGAAACCCGGUGAUCUAGCCAUGGGCAGGUUGAAGGUUGGGUAACACUAACUGGAGGACCGAACCGACUAAUGUUGAAAAAUUAGCGGAUGACCUGUGGCUGGGGGUGAAAGGCCAAUCAAACCGGGAGAUAGCUGGUUCUCCCCGAAAGCUAUUUAGGUAGCGCCUCGUGAAUUCAUCUCCGGGGGUAGAGCACUGUUUCGGCUAGGGGGCCAUCCCGGCUUACCAACCCGAUGCAAACUGCGAAUACCGGAGAAUGUUAUCACGGGAGACACACGGCGGGUGCUAACGUCCGUCGUGAAGAGGGAAACAACCCAGACCGCCAGCUAAGGUCCCAAAGUCAUGGUUAAGUGGGAAACGAUGUGGGAAGGCCCAGACAGCCAGGAUGUUGGCUUAGAAGCAGCCAUCAUUUAAAGAAAGCGUAAUAGCUCACUGGUCGAGUCGGCCUGCGCGGAAGAUGUAACGGGGCUAAACCAUGCACCGAAGCUGCGGCAGCGACGCUUAUGCGUUGUUGGGUAGGGGAGCGUUCUGUAAGCCUGUGAAGGUGUGUCGUGAGGCAUGCUGGAGGUAUCAGAAGUGCGAAUGCUGACAUAAGUAACGAUAAAGCGGGUGAAAAGCCCGCUCGCCGGAAGACCAAGGGUUCCUGUCCAACGUUAAUCGGGGCAGGGUGAGUCGACCCCUAAGGCGAGGCCGAAAGGCGUAGUCGAUGGGAAACGGGUUAAUAUUCCCGUACUUGGUGUUACUGCGAAGGGGGGACGGAGAAGGCUAUGUUGGCCGGGCGACGGUUGUCCCGGUUUAAGCGUGUAGGUGUGUGUUCCAGGUAAAUCCGGUUCACUUUAACACUGAGGCGUGAUGACGAGGCACUACGGUGCUGAAGUAACAAAUGCCCUGCUUCCAGGAAAAGCCUCUAAGCAUCAGGUAACAUCAAAUCGUACCCCAAACCGACACAGGUGGUCAGGUAGAGAAUACCAAGGCGCUUGAGAGAACUCGGGUGAAGGAACUAGGCAAAAUGGUGCCGUAACUUCGGGAGAAGGCACGCUGACACGUAGGUGAAGUGAUUUACUCAUGGAGCUGAAGUCAGUCGAAGAUACCAGCUGGCUGCAACUGUUUAUUAAAAACACAGCACUGUGCAAACACGAAAGUGGACGUAUACGGUGUGACGCCUGCCCGGUGCCGGAAGGUUAAUUGAUGGGGUCAGCGCAAGCGAAGCUCCUGAUCGAAGCCCCGGUAAACGGCGGCCGUAACUAUAACGGUCCUAAGGUAGCGAAAUUCCUUGUCGGGUAAGUUCCGACCUGCACGAAUGGCGUAAUGAUGGCCAGGCUGUCUCCACCCGAGACUCAGUGAAAUUGAACUCGCUGUGAAGAUGCAGUGUACCCGCGGCAAGACGGAAAGACCCCGUGAACCUUUACUAUAGCUUGACACUGAACAUUGAGCCUUGAUGUGUAGGAUAGGUGGG